This 61-nucleotide transfer RNA is filed under the name Tigriopus californicus. Its description in RNAcentral is "tRNA-Ser". Lineage: Eukaryota; Metazoa; Arthropoda; Copepoda; Harpacticoida; Harpacticidae. The record is from RNAcentral.
UAGUAUUAAAAUAACAAAAUCUUUAAAAUUUUUAAUUUCUAAUUAAAAACAAGCAUAUUAA